RNAcentral lists this ribosomal RNA (391 nucleotides) under uncultured Eubacteriales bacterium. RNAcentral's name for it is "bacterial SSU rRNA". It matches the Rfam family "Bacterial small subunit ribosomal RNA", at positions 991 to 1382 of the family's 1533-position model. The record is from RNAcentral. Lineage: Bacteria; Bacillati; Bacillota; Clostridia; Eubacteriales.
UCUGACAGUCCCUUAACGGGAUCGUCCUUCGGGCAGAGGUGACAGGUGGUGCAUGGUUGUCGUCAGGCUCGUGUCGUGAGAUGUUCGGGUUAAGUCCCGCAACGAGCGCAACCCUUGUCUUUAGUUGCCAUCAUUUAGUUGGGCACUCUAGGAGAGACUGCCGAGGAUAACUCGGAGGAAGGUGGGGAUGACGUCAAAUCAUCAUGCCCCUUAUGUUCUGGGCUACACACGUGCUACAAUGGCCGGUACAAAGAGACGCAAGACCGCGAGGUGGAGCAAAUCUCAAAAACCAGUCCCAGUUCGGAUUGUAGGCUGCAACUCGCCUACAUGAAGUUGGAGUUGCUAGUAAUCGUGGAUCAGAAUGCCACGGUGAAUGCGGUUCCCGGGUCUU